Molecule: ribosomal RNA, 397 nt
Filed under: uncultured bacterium
Lineage: Bacteria
Description: partial 16S ribosomal RNA
Rfam family: Bacterial small subunit ribosomal RNA
Source: RNAcentral
CCUACGGGUGGCAGCAGUGAGGAAUAUUGGUCAAUGGACGAAAGUCUGAACCAGCCAAGUAGCGUGAAGGAUGACUGCCCUAUGGAUUGUAAACUUCUUUUAUAUGGGAAUAAAACGUGCCACGUGUGGGAUUUUGUAUGUACCAUAUGAAGAAGGAUCGGCUAACUCCGUGCCAGCAGCCGCGGUAAUACGGAGGAUCCGAGCGUUAUCCGGAUUUAUUGGGUUUAAAGGGAGCGAGGGUGGUUGGUUAAGUCAAUGGUAAAGUUUUGGGGUCCAACCUAAAAUUGCAGUUGAAAAUGGCAGUCUUGAGUAAAGUAGAGGUGAGCGGAAUUCGUGGUGUAGCGGUGAAAUGCUUAGAUAUCACGAAGAACUCCGAUUGCGAAGGCAGUUCACUGGA